Non-coding RNA from Microcebus murinus (gray mouse lemur), 1433 nucleotides. Lineage: Eukaryota; Metazoa; Chordata; Mammalia; Primates; Cheirogaleidae. The record is from RefSeq and is a predicted model, not a curated record.
GAGUUCACUUGGUUGGGAAAAUGAUGCAAUGUUCCAUGCUGACUCAUUUGGGUCAUGAUAGAGCUCUCUUUCUCCAUGUGAUUGGAGAGUUACAGAACAGCUGUGGAAGAAUAUGGCCAAUGAGCCAAGUGGUACAUAGCAUCUACAGAGUGAAAAAAAAAUAGUUUAUACUUGAAAACCUUGCCCUGAAAAUUGGAGUGGUCUUUGGGGAUUCCCACGGCAUAGAAAUCACUACAAACAAGUUGUUCACACAGAAGUCUAGAGACUUGUCCACAUUGUCCUGUCCCUCAUUGUUUGAGGUAAGCCUCAAGAAUAUUAAUGUUCUGCAUUUUAUGACUGUUGAAAAAGCUACCUGGGUAUCAGAGAAAGCUCUGUGGCGGAAAACUGAAUGAUCCACAUGAGAGAUAGAUAAGGUGGAGUAUCAAUAUCUUUUCUGGGGAUCCUAAAAAGGCAUUGAAAUAGGAGGACUACAGGGAAGGUUUAUCCUACAUCUUCAAAAUGUGCCCAGGAAAGUCUGUACUGGAAGCAAGAUUACAUUCAAGGACACUGUCACCAGGGGCCUCUUUGAAUCAGCGUCAGGAUGCAAGUUUGAUGUUCUCUCCAUGCUGUGAGUAACCUCUGAUUACCAGAUCACAGAUCUUCCAAAUUGAUUUGGGAAGUAUUUAUUCUUUUGUCUGAGAAUUCUUGGCUGCUCUAGAAUGAAAAUUUUAGGGCAUAAACUGAGGAGCUAUUCCCAUGUUGUUCACUAUGAAGAAUCAAGCUGGACCAAAAACAUUCAUUAUCUGUGCACUCAAAGUGGUUCCUGGCUAAUAUUACAUAGAGACCCGGCAUGUAACGAAGAAUCUGGUUAUAGAAAUAAAUGCUUUUAAUGAAAAUAUCAUUUCUAUGUAAUAAUAAGAAACACUGCUUUAUUUCCUUUUGCUCAUUUUGGUUUUUGUGGCUUUAAACUAGAAUGUACUAAAUGUGCCUAAUAAUUUUUAGAGAAUCUGUUGUUGGAAACAGCUUUAAUAAAAAUAAAAUGUGUGCCUAAUUUUCACACAAACCAUAAUAAGAUCAUACUAAAGUAAAGAAUACACUUGCACCUUGUGGGGCAAUAAUUAGAAACUAGAACCUGGAAAACUAUAAACGUUGUUAUGUAGAACUGUAAGUUUCUCUUGAAAUUGGAUUUGAACGUAAGUAAACCAAAUAUAGUAGAUGUUUUAAUGCAAGACAAUGCAGCCAGCUAAAUUGUAAAACUACUGUAUUUAAUUAUUUUUGGUUUUUCAUUAAGAGAAACAUGUUUUUCCAGCAGAGGAUAGCAGAACACACACAUAUUCAUACAUACAAAUAAAAACACACCUAUGUUCAAAUCUUCCACUAAUGUCAUCUUUUUGUUUCUCUCCCUCACAAGAACACACAAUUUUAAAUAAUAUAUAAGCAUAUAAAUACAUACA